UUAAGUUCAGCGGGUAUUCCUACCUGAUCCGAGGUCAACCUUGAUAAAUUAGUUGUUUAACGGCAAGAACCCGCCAUCAUUCCAGAGCGAAGAUAAACUACUGCACUCGGUAUGACAACGAGCCCGCCACUGCAUUUCGGGGGCUGCGGUAGCCGCAGGGCCCCAACACAAGCCUAGGGCUUGAUGGUUGAAAUGACGCU
This 200-nucleotide unclassified non-coding RNA is filed under the name fungal sp. RNAcentral describes it as "partial internal transcribed spacer 2". Lineage: Eukaryota; Fungi. The record is from RNAcentral.